Molecule: ribosomal RNA, 443 nt
Filed under: uncultured bacterium
Lineage: Bacteria
Description: partial 16S ribosomal RNA
Rfam family: Bacterial small subunit ribosomal RNA
Source: RNAcentral
CCUACGGGGUGCAGCAGUGGGGAAUAUUGGGCAAUGGGCGCAAGCCUGACCCAGCAACGCCGCGUGAAGGAAGAAGGCUUUCGGGUUGUAAACUUCUUUUCUCAGGGACGAAGAAAGUGACGGUACCUGAGGACUAAGCCACGGCUAACUACGUGCCAGCAGCCGCGGUAAUACGUAGGGAGCGAGCGUUGUCCGGAUUUACUGGGUAUAAAGGGUGCGUAGGCGGCUUGGUAAGUCAGUAGUGAAAUCCAUGGGCUUAACCCAUGAACUGCUAUUGAAACUGUCGAGCUUGAGUGAAGUAGAGGUAGGCGGAAUUCCCGGUGUAGCGGUGAAAUGCGUAGAGAUCGGGAGGAACACCAGUGGCGAAGGCGGCCUACUGGGCUUUAACUGACGCUGAGGCACGAAAGCGUGGGUAGCAAACAGGAUUAGAUACCCGAGUAGUC